RNAcentral lists this ribosomal RNA (429 nucleotides) under Chloroflexota bacterium. RNAcentral describes it as "Chloroflexi bacterium partial 16S ribosomal RNA". It matches the Rfam family "Bacterial small subunit ribosomal RNA", at positions 355 to 776 of the family's 1533-position model. The record is from RNAcentral. Lineage: Bacteria; Bacillati; Chloroflexota.
UGGGGAAUAUUGCACAAUGGGCGCAAGCCUGAUGCAGCCAUGCCGCGUGUAUGAAGAAGGCCUUCGGGUUGUAAAGUACUUUCAGUCGGGAGGAAGGUGGUAAGGUUAAUAACCUUGGCAAUUGACGUUACCGACAGAAGAAGCACCGGCUAACUCCGUGCCAGCAGCCGCGGUAAUACGGAGGGUGCAAGCGUUAAUCGGAAUUACUGGGCGUAAAGCGCACGCAGGCGGUUGAUUGAGUCAGAUGUGAAAUCCCCGGGCUUAACCCGGGAAUUGCAUCUGAAACUGGUCAGCUAGAGUCGUGUAGAGGGGGGUAGAAUUCCAUGUGUAGCGGUGAAAUGCGUAGAGAUGUGGAGGAAUACCGGUGGCGAAGGCGGCCCCCUGGACGAAGACUGACGCUCAGGUGGGAAAGCGUGGGGAGCAAACAGG